This 455-nucleotide ribosomal RNA is filed under the name uncultured bacterium. Its description in RNAcentral is "bacterial SSU rRNA". It matches the Rfam family "Bacterial small subunit ribosomal RNA", at positions 8 to 507 of the family's 1533-position model. The record is from RNAcentral.
AGAGUUUGAUCAUGGCUCAGAACGAACGCUGGCGGCAGGCUUAACACAUGCAAGUCGAACGGGCGUAGCAAUACGUCAGUGGCAGACGGGUGAGUAACACGUGGGAACCUUCCUAGGGGUACGGAACAACUCAGGGAAACUUGAGCUAAUACCGUAUACGUCCGUGAGGAGAAAGAUUUAUCGCCCUUAGACGGGCCCGCGUCGGAUUAGCUAGUUGGUGGGGUAACGGCCUACCAAGGCGACGAUCCGUAGCUGAUCUGAGAGGAUGAUCAGCCACACUGGGACUGAGACACGGCCCAGACUCCUACGGGAGGCAGCAGUGGGGAAUCUUGGACAAUGGGCGCAAGCCUGAUCCAGCCAUGCCGCGUGAGUGAAGAAGGCCUUCGGGUUGUAAAGCUCUUUUGUCAGGGACGAUAAUGACGGUACCUGAAGAAUAAGCCCCGGCAAACUUCGUG